RNAcentral lists this ribosomal RNA (713 nucleotides) under Paenibacillus polymyxa. RNAcentral describes it as "bacterial SSU rRNA". It matches the Rfam family "Bacterial small subunit ribosomal RNA", at positions 82 to 782 of the family's 1533-position model. Lineage: Bacteria; Bacillati; Bacillota; Bacilli; Caryophanales; Paenibacillaceae. The record is from RNAcentral.
UCUAACUAACCUAGCGGCGGACGGGUGAGUAACACGUAGGCAACCUGCCCACAAGACAGGGAUAACUACCGGAAACGGUAGCUAAUACCCGAUACAUCCUUUUCCUGCAUGGGAGAAGGAGGAAAGGCGGAGCAAUCUGUCACUUGUGGAUGGGCCUGCGGCGCAUUAGCUAGUUGGUGGGGUAAAGGCCUACCAAGGCGACGAUGCGUAGCCGACCUGAGAGGGUGAUCGGCCACACUGGGACUGAGACACGGCCCAGACUCCUACGGGAGGCAGCAGUAGGGAAUCUUCCGCAAUGGGCGAAAGCCUGACGGAGCAACGCCGCGUGAGUGAUGAAGGUUUUCGGAUCGUAAAGCUCUGUUGCCAGGGAAGAACGUCUUGUAGAGUAACUGCUACAAGAGUGACGGUACCUGAGAAGAAAGCCCCGGCUAACUACGUGCCAGCAGCCGCGGUAAUACGUAGGGGGCAAGCGUUGUCCGGAAUUAUUGGGCGUAAAGCGCGCGCAGGCGGCUCUUUAAGUCUGGUGUUUAAUCCCGAGGCUCAACUUCGGGUCGCACUGGAAACUGGGGAGCUUGAGUGCAGAAGAGGAGAGUGGAAUUCCACGUGUAGCGGUGAAAUGCGUAGAGAUGUGGAGGCACACCAGUGGCGAAGGCGACUCUCUGGGCUGUAACUGACGCUGAGGCGCGAAAGCGUGGGGAGCAAACAGGAUUAGA